CUAUUAACCAAGAACAUGCCUUCCUCUGCAUCCUCAUCAAAAUUCUUGGUCACAAAAGCUGGGUAAAUGAUUGAUGAGAAAGAAACUGGUGGUUGAUGGAAAUCAAAGGAAGAAGGCAGGGGCUUCUUCAGCAAUAAAUCAAGAGUGAAAGAACACGAAAUAAACCAUGUAAUUACACUUUUAAGUGACACCAGCACAGGAAUGCAAGAGAGCAAGGCAUGAGUACUCAUGGAGUUGCAUUGAUUCACUGACAUUCUUUCACCUUGUUUAGUGCCCUUUUUGAAUGACCAACAGCAUAUAUGGCUCAUGAU
Molecule: long non-coding RNA, 311 nt
Organism: Homo sapiens (human)
Lineage: Eukaryota; Metazoa; Chordata; Mammalia; Primates; Hominidae
Exons: 3
Source: RefSeq, a predicted model, not a curated record